UCGAGGAUCUUCGGCAAUGGGCGCAAGCCUGACCGAGCGACGCCGCGUGUGCGAUGAAGGCCUUCGGGUUGUAAAGCACUGUCGAGGGGGAGGAAGCCGCAAGGUUGACCUAUCCCUGGAGGAAGCACGGGCUAAGUUCGUGCCAGCAGCCGCGGUAAGACGAACCGUGCGAACGUUAUUCGGAAUCACUGGGCUUAAAGGGCGCGUAGGCGGGCUCCCAAGUCUGCGGUGAAAGCCUCCAGCUUAACUGGAGAAGUGCCGUGGAUACUGCGAGUCUCGAGGAGGGUAGGGGCAUCUGGAACGUUGGGUGGAGCGGUGAAAUGCGUUGAUAUCCAACGGAACUCCGGUGGCGAAGGCGAGGUGCUGGACCCUUUCUGACGCUGAGGCGCGAAAGCCAGGGGAGCGAACGGGAUUAGAUACCCCCGUAGUCC
Molecule: ribosomal RNA, 431 nt
Filed under: uncultured bacterium
Lineage: Bacteria
Description: bacterial SSU rRNA
Rfam family: Bacterial small subunit ribosomal RNA
Source: RNAcentral